ACCAGCGUGAACUGGUGUAAACUCUCAUGGAUAUAGAAUAUUUGUCUUCUAAAAGGAAUAAUGCUUUCUAUGUAUCCGGAAAAUUCUAGUAUUGUUUACAUUAAUGCGGUCUGUCUACUCUGACGCAUUUUUUUUUUCUUUCUUUCUCAUGUUACUGAUAUGGCUAGCAGAUUAUCACAGAGGCUGAUUCUGUAUUCAGGGGCGCAAGAAAAAUUGCCUGCUUUGUUAAAGAUUGCCUUUCCUAAUGGCUAUCGAUAAGUCGGCAGAUGACAAUUACUUAAGCCCCACCGUUCUUUUGUUAACAUCUUAUUAUUACUCUUCGCUUCAUGAAUGAAAUGAACACAAUUCUGUUUUUCUGAAACACGAAUAUAGACGUUUUAAAAGUUUUAUUUUUCUGAAUGAGCUAAUUUAUGAUUCCUGUUCUGUCCAUAUUUUCACUCACUUUGGCUAAUGAAAUACAGGACAAAAAACUUUCACUUUCCUAGAGUGAUAAGUUUGUAAAUGUAUGGAAAUGAUUGACGUAAUCCAUACGGCUUAGCAUAAAGGACAAAAAGUCGAUUUGGCAUCCGCGUCAAUAGGAAUCAUAUAAGAUAGUAGACAAGCGCCUGCAUUUCAGUUGUUUCAGUCCUUUCGUUGACAGAAGAGUCACAGACAAUUCAGCCUUGCAUACGUGUCAGACCUUUCCAAGACCAAACGCCAUGAAGAUAAUUUUCCUGGUGCUGAUGUUGGUGUCCCUCCUGUUCCUCGCGGCCGACGCAGCGCCCCAGCUGGUCAUCACUCGCAGAAGACAUUUCCCCGGCGAGAGGCGACUCGGGAGCACCAACUACGGCCAGUACAGCUUCGGCAAGAGAGGCUACGCAAGACGAACCAAUCCAGCAAAGAAGAAUGCCUUCAACUGAGGGGCACUAAAACACCUUCCAUUUGCUGCACUUGCUGGAGAAACCAAGAGAGUUUUUUUGUGAUCGAAGCACUGCUGAAGAUAGUACCUUUUGUGUAUUAUCAUUUUGUUUUUAUUAUGAGAGAAUGUUUGCAAUGUAUUCUUCUCUAUGCACUAAAAGUUGCCAUAAUGUUAAGUGACAACAUAAUGAUUUAUUUAUUGUUUAGCUCUACUACCAAGAUACUUAUUGUUGAAGAUGACAGGGAUUCAGUAACUACUGAGUGUACAUUUCUGUUUUAAAAUGUCUUAUUCCAAUUCUUCAUGACGUGGAAUUUCAAAUAUAUUUUAUUUUGAUAUGUUUUCAUUAUUUUUUUCAUUUCUUUGAAGGCCUCAUUCUUAACUGUCUUUGUAAACAGAGUAACUACUCAUUGUCAUACAGUGAUAUUACAGACAGUACGGUAGGCCUUGUGUGUAUUGUUUGUCGAUUUCACGGUCCAAAAUAGUAGCUUUGUUUAAGUACAAACAGUGAUUAUUCAAUGAAUCUUGACUUCUUCGAAGCAUCUCAUUGUUAACUGUCCUUGCAGAUCGCAAUAAGAUUUGAAAUAAAAAAAAUGCAUUAGCAGAGCAAUUGUCUGUCUAACAUCAGCAUAAAAAAACGUUUUACAGCCAGGUACUAGUAGUCCUUGAACUGUGUUAAUAAUGAAAACAGAAGCUAUGAUGUUACCUCACUUUAGUUACUUAAUGUAGCUGAGAAUCACCAAAUAUAGGUGAAGAAACUUCUGAAUACAGAUAUAAGAAUAGAUAGGUAGAAAUGUUACAGUACAUUUUUUUAAUGCUAUCUAUGUCCGAAAACAUCUUUUUCAAUUCAAUAAGUUCAAUAAGUUUCCUGUAGCGAAUUUAUACCUAAGAACACUGAAAAACUGUAUAACAUACAGCAUGUGAUAGUACACAAGACAGACUAAGUAUAUAUACAUAUGCAUACAUUAUAUAUAUUUAUUACACACACACAUAUAUAUGUAUAAUAUAUAUAUGUAUAUAUAUAUACACAUUCACACACACACAUUCACACAUACACAGAUACAGGCAGAGUAAAAAAGACACACAUGUCCCGUAUAUAUUUAUAUAUAUAUUUCUUCCAUCAUUAUUACUAUUAUUAAUGUCAUUACUUUCGUCACCAUUACAAUUACCAUCAUCAUAAAUUAAUUAUCACUAAAAAUAUCAUUACUGCUCUAAAUACAGACACUUUCAUCAUAAUAUUCAUAAACAUUAUCAUCAUUCCCUCUAUGAUCUUAACUACUGCUAUCACUGUUAUAGCUGCUAGUUGCCACCCUACAAUCUACAAUAAGCAAGGCCAUGAAACCAGAAACACAAUACAUGCUUAAUCAUCCUGAAUCAGUUGCAGAAUAUUAAGUAUACUACAUAGUUUGGAUGUAAUGGAUGUAAUAAUAGUUACAUCCAAAAACUUGUUGUUUUUAUGAUGAUUUUGUCAUUAUUUCCUUCAUAUUUUUUUCCUAUUUAUAUAAGUUCUGAUCCGAGUUUCACAGUGUGUUAUAGCAGGUUACCAUUACAUUGCCGGUUAACUAAAUAACACUAACAUAACUUUGAAAUGGUAAACAUUUUUGUCUUGGGAUACAUAUUUACAGGGAAAGAGAGAGAGCGGAAGAGAAAGAGAAAGAGGAAGAGAGAGAGAAAGAGGAAGAGGAAGAGAGAGAGAUGGAGAAAGAGAAAGAGGAAGAGAGAGAGAAAG
This 2624-nucleotide long non-coding RNA is filed under the name Penaeus chinensis. RNAcentral's name for it is "uncharacterized LOC125027946". The record is from RNAcentral. Lineage: Eukaryota; Metazoa; Arthropoda; Malacostraca; Decapoda; Penaeidae.